GCCAGGCGUGGUGGCACAUGCCUAUAAUCCCAGCAACUUGGGAGGCUGAGAUAGGAGGAUUGCAGGUUCAAGGCCAGUCUCUGAAAAAAGUGAGAUGCUAAGCAACUCAGUGAGACCUUCUCUCUA
Molecule: small RNA, 126 nt
Filed under: Marmota monax (woodchuck)
Lineage: Eukaryota; Metazoa; Chordata; Mammalia; Rodentia; Sciuridae
Source: RNAcentral